CACGCCCUAAACUAUGAUCACUCGUUGUUGGAGGAUUCGACCCCUUCAGCGACUAAGCUAACGCGAUAAGUGAUCCGCCUGGGUAGUACGAUCGCAAGAUUAAAACUCAAAGGAAUAGACGGGGACCCGCACAAGCGGUGGAGCAUCUGGUUUAAUUCGACAGUAAGCGAGGAACCUCACCUAGGCUUGACAUCCCGAGAAGAUUGCCGAAAGGCGAUUGUGCCGCAAGGAACUCGGUGACAGGUGC
This 247-nucleotide ribosomal RNA is filed under the name uncultured bacterium. Its description in RNAcentral is "partial 16S ribosomal RNA". It matches the Rfam family "Bacterial small subunit ribosomal RNA", at positions 796 to 1041 of the family's 1533-position model. The record is from RNAcentral.